UACGUAGGGUCCAAGCGUUAUCCGGAAUCACUGGGCGUAAAGCGUGCGUAGGGGGUUUGUUAAGUGUAUUGCGAAAUCCUGUGGCUCAACCAUAUGGACUGUAAUGCAUACUGGCAAACUAGAGGACGGCAGAGGCAAGUGGAAUUACUGGUGUAGCAGUGAAAUGCGUAGAGAUCAGUAGGAACACCAAUGGCGAAGGCAGCUUGCUGGGCCGACCCUGACGCUAAGGCACGAAAGCGUGGGGAGCGAACAGG
This 254-nucleotide ribosomal RNA is filed under the name uncultured bacterium. Its description in RNAcentral is "partial 16S ribosomal RNA". It matches the Rfam family "Bacterial small subunit ribosomal RNA", at positions 524 to 776 of the family's 1533-position model. The record is from RNAcentral.